GUGCAGCAGUCGCGAAUUCUCCGCAAUGCGGGAAACCGCGACGGGGGACCCCGAGUGCCGUGGCAACGCCACGGCUUUUCCGGAGUGUAAAAAGCUCCGGGAAUAAGGGCUGGGCAAGGCCGGUGGCAGCCGCCGCGGUAAUACCGGCGGCCCGAGUGGUGGCCGCUAUUAUUGGGCCUAAAGCGUCCGUAGCCGGGCCCGUAAGUCCCUGGCGAAAUCCCACGGCUCAACCGUGGGGCUUGCUGGGGAUACUGCGGGUCUUGGGACCGGGAGAGGCGGGGGGUACCCCUGGGGUAGGGGUGAAAUCCUAUAAUCCCAGGGGGACCGCCAGUGGCGAAAGGCGCCCCGCUGGAACGGGUCCGACGGUGAGGGACGAAGGCCAGGGGAGCAAAACCGGAUUAGAUACCCGUGUAGU
This 415-nucleotide ribosomal RNA is filed under the name uncultured microorganism. Its description in RNAcentral is "bacterial SSU rRNA". It matches the Rfam family "Archaeal small subunit ribosomal RNA", at positions 330 to 745 of the family's 1478-position model. The record is from RNAcentral.